RNAcentral lists this ribosomal RNA (216 nucleotides) under uncultured bacterium. RNAcentral describes it as "partial 16S ribosomal RNA". It matches the Rfam family "Bacterial small subunit ribosomal RNA", at positions 121 to 334 of the family's 1533-position model. The record is from RNAcentral.
UCAACCUGCCUUACCGUCCGGGAUAACUAGCCGAAAGGUUAAGCUAAUACCUGAUACGAUCGUUGAGCGGCAUCGCACGACGAUGAAAGCAGCAAUGCGCGGUUAGAGGGGGCUGCGGCCCAUUAGCUAGUUGGUGAGGUAAUGGCCCACCAAGGCAACGAUGGGUAGCUGGUCUGAGAGGACGACCAGCCACACUGGGACUGAGACACGGCCCAG